GAUGAACGCUGGCGGCGUGCCUAAUACAUGCAAGUAGAACGCUGAAGCUUGGUGCUUGCACCGAGCGGAUGAGUUGCGAACGGGUGAGUAACGCGUAGGUAACCUGCCUGGUAGCGGGGGAUAACUAUUGGAAACGAUAGCUAAUACCGCAUAACAGUAGAUAUUGCAUGAUAUCUGCUUGAAAGGGGCAAUUGCUCCACUACCAGAUGGACCUGCGUUGUAUUAGCUAGUUGGUGAGGUAACGGCUCACCAAGGCGACGAUACAUAGCCGACCUGAGAGGGUGAUCGGCCACACUGGGACUGAGACACGGCCCAGACUCCUACGGGAGGCAGCAGUAGGGAAUCUUCGGCAAUGGACGGAAGUCUGACCGAGCAACGCCGCGUGAGUGAAGAAGGUUUUCGGAUCGUAAAGCUCUGUUGUAAGAGAAGAACGAGUGUGAGAGUGGAAAGUUCACACUGUGACGGAACUACCAGAAAGGAC
Molecule: ribosomal RNA, 481 nt
Filed under: Streptococcus sp. oral taxon 066
Lineage: Bacteria; Bacillati; Bacillota; Bacilli; Lactobacillales; Streptococcaceae
Description: bacterial SSU rRNA
Rfam family: Bacterial small subunit ribosomal RNA
Source: RNAcentral